AAUUUGUAAUUUUUGAACAUUUAUAUCUAGGGUAUUUUCAACUUUUUGAUAUGAAGCAUAUUGACUGGGAUAAAUAUCUUUGUUUCAAUAUUUAGUCUCAACAUUAAUUUUAUUACCUUAGGAUAGGUUCUAAAGCAUGGUAUUACAAUGCAAGAACAUGAUCUAUAAAGUGACUAUUGAUACACUGCCAAACUUACCUUCAAAGAAUUUCUGUCCACUUUCAGUUUUCCUCCUCAUCCUCAGCAAUGAAGUAUCCAUUGCAUCUGUAAUUAAUUAUAAGAAUUGUUCUAACUUUACUAAGAUUAAAUGCUUGAUAAACAUUAAGCGAUGUCUCAUUCUUUCAUCCUCUCCUAUUAUCUUUCCAAAGGAACUUCAGAGUAAUUUUAUUAUAUUAAAAGAAAAAGGGAAUUCCCAUUAUGGCUCAGUGGAAAUGAACCCAGUUAGUAUCCAUGAGGAUACAGGUUCGAUCCCUGGCCUCACUCAGUGGAUGAGGGAUCCGGCGUUGCCAUGAGCGGUGGUGUAGUUUGCAGAUGUGGCUUGGAUCUGGUGUUGCUAUGGCUGUGGCGUAAAGGGUGGUAGCUGCAGCUCUGAUUUGAACCCUAGUCCAGGAACUCCCAUAUGCCGCAGGUGCAGCCCUAAAAAUAAAAAAAGAAAAAGAAAAAGAAAAGAAAAAGUAAAAGAAAGCAGAGGGGAGGUAGAGUGGAAGAAGGCAGGGAGGGAUCGAGAGAGAGAAAAAAGAAAACAAAAGAAUUCCCAUUAGGAUUUCUAUCAGUUAAAAAAUCCUGUGGUACUUAAAACAUAGGGUUUUGCUGUGGCUCGGGUUUCUGCUGUGGUAUAGGUUCCAUCCCUGGCCCAGGAUCUUCCUCAUGCUGUGGGCACAGCCAAACAAAGUACCUUCAUCAUACCUGAAUACACAUUUAUGAAACCAAAUCAGAAAUAUUUGGAGUGGCCAAAAAAUGUAAUUCUCCUUUCAUCUGCAUUCCACCCCCCAACUUACUUCUUAGUUAUCUCCAAAUCUCUCCAGAGAUCAAAUUUUUAGCACAUAUUGUAUCAGGUUAAAAAAUAUCCUUAUAAUUUAAAUUUUUAGAUGUAGACACAUAUAAAUUUUUUAGAUUCAUUUGUGUUUUCUUUUCUAGUCUUGCUUUGGAAAUUAUACAUACUCUAUUCCUCCAAUAAUUAUUUUAAAAACCUAGUGCUCCUAUUUAUUUUUCACUCAGUGUAUAGAGUUAAACCGUAGUUAUGUCCUUUCCAAAUAAUAAGACUAAUGUCUUAGGAAAUUCUUCCCCUUUCUCUCCAUUUCCUACCAUAAGGAAAUCAUCGGGGGUUUUAAUUCCAGCUUUCAUGCGUUUAUUUACAUUACGUAUUGUAACUAUUUAUACUUAACUACCAUCUUUCUACACAAGGGUUUUUGGUGCUCCACUUUUUUUCUUCCUUCCAAGUUUUAUUUUUCUGAAAUACGUUCUCAAGCAAUUUUUUCAGAAAGGCGCUGAACAUGAUAAACUUUCAGAACACUUUCGAGGAAAUCUUUAUUUUGUUCUCCCGUUUGAAUGCUGGCUGAUAGGGUGUAUACUUUUAUUAUUUACUUAUUUACUUAUUUUUGUCUUUUAGGGCCACACCUGCAGCAUAUGGAAGUUCCCAGGCUAGGGGUCCAACCAGAGCUGUAGCUGCCAGCCUUGGCCAGAGCCACAGAAAUGUGGCAUCCUAGCUACGUCUUCGACCUAUCCCACAGCUCAUAGCAACGCCAGAUCCUUAACCCACCGAGCAAGGCCAGGGAUAGAACCCACAUCCUCAUGGAUCCAGUCAGGUUUGUUAACUGCUGAGCCACGAUGGGAACCAUGGGUGUAUACUUCUAGAUUAAAAAAUUCUUUCAUCUGAGAAUUUUGAAGAGUUACCCCAUUAUCUUCCACCUUGCUUAUUCAUUCUUCUGCCUCCUGCUUCUAGGGAAUUUUUUUUUAUUUCAGUUAUUGUAUUUUGCAUCUCUUCUUGUUUAAGUUUUAAAUCUUGUAUCUCUUUGGUCAGUGUUUCCUGUAAGUUAUCCAUCUUUGCCUCCAGUUUAUUUCCAAUGUCUUGCAUCAUCUUCAGCAUCAACAGUCUAAAGUCUUUUUCCUGGAGGCUGAGAAUCUCCUCAUCNNNNNNNNNNNNNNNNNNNNNNNNNNNNNNNCUUAGCUGAUUUUCUGGGGUUUUUCCUUUCUCCCUCAUCUGAGUUAUAGUUCUCUGUCUUUUCAUUUUUAUAGGUUUUUGGUGUGGUGAUCUUUUUACAGAUAAUAGAGUUGUAGCCUCUCUUCCUUCUGGUGUCUGCCCCCCUUGUGGCUGAAGCUGGUAGGGGGCUUGCUAUAGGUUUCCUGAUGGGAGGGACUGAGGGUGCCCACUGGUAGGUGGAGCUGAUUCCUGUCCCUCUGGUGGGUGGGGCUUUGUCUCUGGGUGAGAUUAGAGGUGGCUGUGUGCCUGGGGGUCUUUAGGCAGCCUGAUGGGCGGGGCUGCGAUCCCACCUGGAUUGUUAUUUGGCCUGGGUCUUCUCAGCACUGAUGAGGGCUAGGUUUUCCCAAAAUGGCCCCCUCCAGAGAAAGGCACGGCUGAUGAAUAUUCCCAAGACCUUUGCUUCCAGUGUCCCUCCCCCACAACAAGCCACAUUCACACCUGUUUUCCCAGGAGGUCCUCCAAGAACUGCAGUCAGGUUUGACCCAGAUUCCUAUGGAGACUUUGCUUUGCCCUGGGACCCAGUGCACGUGAAAGUCUGUGUGUGCCUAUUAAGAAUGGGGUCUCAGUUUCCCCCAGUCCCAUGGAGCUCCUGCGCACAAGCCCCACUGGCCUUCAAUGCCAGAUGCUCUGGGGGCUCUUUCUCCCAGUGCCAGAUCCCCGCAAGUGAGGGUUUGAUGUGGGGCUCGGAACUCUCACUCCUGUAGGUGAGUCUCUGUGAACCAGUUAGUUUCCAGUCUGUGGGGCUUCCCACCCAGGAGGUAUGGGGUUGCUUAUAUCAUGUAAUCGCCCCUCCUACCUCUAUGAUGUGGCCUCUUCUUUUUCUUCUGGAGUAGGAUAUCUUUUUUAAGGUUUCCAGUCAAUCUUCCGGUUGAAGAUUGCUCAGCCUUUAAUUGUGAAUUCUGUUGUUUUUGGGAGAGAAGUUGAGCUCCAGUCCUUCUAUUCUGCCAUCUUAAUCCCGUCUCCCCAUUAUCUUCCAUCAUCCAGUGUUGCUGAUAAGAAGGCUAUUGACAAUCAAAUUUUCCGUGUUGUUGUUUAAAACAAGUGUAAUCUUUCAGGCCUAUUUUCAGUGUAAUGCAUGACUCUGAGAGUGAUGCCCCUUACACCUCUGCCCUAGACCCAGCUCUGAAGCCAGACACUGCAUGCAUAUGCUCUAGAAAUAACAGAAAACAAGGUAGACAGGGUCUCUGUCUGUACGGAGAAUAUAUUUGAGGGUUGGGGCUAAAAAAGACAAGAGUAUAAAUGAGUGAAUACACAAAGUCAGUCAUGUGAAAAGAAGGAAAGGAACAUGUUGCUGUAAAUGAGAACAAUGGGUCGGUGUGUAGCUUCUUUUUUUUUGUCUUUUUGCCAUUUCUUGGGCCACUCCCGCGGCAUGUGGAGGUUCCCAGGCUAGGAGUCUAAACGGAGCUGUAGCUGCCAGCCUAUGCCAGAGCCAAAGCAACGUGGGAUCCGAGCCACGUCUGCGACCUACACCACAGCUCACGGCAACACCAGAUCGUCAACCCACUAAGCAAGAGCAGGGAUCGAACCCACAAUCUCAUGGAUCAUAGUCAGAUUCAUUAACCACUGCACCAAGACGGGAACUCCAGGUGUGUAGCUUCUUAAGAUGAGGUAACAUUUAGGAACAUAUAGAAUUUUUGUAAAAAAUUGUGAUUGGUGGCCUUUUUAAUUUGAAGAUGUGUGACUGUUUUCAGCUCUGGGAAUUUCCAUCUUUGCCUCCUUAUUUAUUCUGCUCAGGACUUAAUUGGCUGUCCUUUUGUGACUAAAAUUAAAUAUCUAUUAGAAUUUUUUACUGUACCCUCUGUAUCUCAUCUCUUUUCCAUCUUCAACCUCUCCCUGCUACACUCUGGACUUUUUUUUUUUUUUUUUUUUUUUUUUGCCGCACCCCCAGCAAGUGGAAGUUCUCAGGCCAGGGAUUGAACCAGUGGCACAGCAGUGACCUGAGCCACAGCAGUGACAACACUGGAUCCUUAACCCACUGUGUCACCACAGAAACCCUGGACUUUUAUUCUUAUAUAUCUUUUGGUUCACUCUUUCUUUAUUGCUUUGUUUAAUCUUCUGUUCAACCUGUCCUGAGUUAAGAACCUGUGUUCUUAAUUUUGGCCAUUGUAUUUUCUGUUCUAGAAUUCCUAUUUGAUUGCUUUUCAAAUCUGCAGUGUCACCUUUAUAGUUUACACCUCCUUGCCAAAUUUUUAAAACGUAUCUUUUAUCGCCUUGAAUAUAGCAGGCAUUGGAGCUUUAUGGUGUGUCGUAUCUAUUCAAAUUUAGAGUAUCUCUGAGUCUGUUUCUGUUGUCUGUUAUCUCUGCUGGCUCUUGCAAAUGGUGUUUUGUCUUUUUUGUGUGUCUAGUUAUUUUUGAUUGUGUCCCAAACAUUUAUUUUUAAAACUUAUGGAAGUAAUUUGAGGCCUGAAAUGAUUAUUAUCUUUGUUAUGAGACAAGUUUUAUUUGUUCCUGCAUCACAGGAGUGUAUUAGCAAUCUGGGAUCACCUUAAACCAAGCAUGUAUUGACUGACACUUUUUAGCCUCUAGAUGUUAUAAAACUGGGCUGUAGCCUGUGUGAGGGCUGAUUUGCUUCCAGUUUACCUUUACACUUAGGCUGCAGUUCUUCAGGAUCCCACCUAAAAGUACAGAAAACUGCUCUGACCUUGUCCCUUGAUCUCUGAGAGGCUGUCAGUAAUGAGUACAUGUUCUCAGCAAGUGUCUCCUCCAUCCAAGUAAUGUGAGUGUCAGACUUACUUCCCUGACUUCGUUUCUUUCCCCAGAACUUUUUCCUUAAAGUAGAAGUCUCUCUCUCCCUCUCUCUCUUUCUCUCAUUCUCUUCCCCUUGUAAAUUGAAAGAAGAUUUUCUUUGCCAAAAGGAGAAUAAAAUCUCCCUGUGAAACCUCUCCAUGUAAUGAGAACUCCUCCUGCAUCUUAAGCAAGGAUUUCCACACCAGCUGAUUAAGAGAAUCAGUAGAGAAGCUUUCAAAUGGUCCAGCUCUGGGAUGUGUGCCCUUCAGUAACUGAAGACUUCCUCAGGAUCUGUGACCACAAAUGAUUUUAAGGUAAUUUCCAGAUCCCCAGUGUCCAUAGGUACUUUUUCUUCAGAAACCACCGAUGCUUAGAGCCCCUUUCCUACUCUUAGCUACCUGGGUGGACACUGAAGCCAAAUCUAGCUGAUCAGAGUUCACAGCCCUUCUGGCUUUAGUAGUUUUGGUGUAUCCAUGCAAUUGAAUCAAGGACAAUCAGAAUCUUGCCUGGGAUUUUUUUUUUUUUUUUUUUUUUUUUUUUUUUNUUAAGAGCCAUCAGGAAAGAUUUGUACCUUCCACUGUGGUUACUGAAGGGGGAGAUAUGAGUCUGACAUUGCUGGUAGCCAUCUUGCUUUCUCUAUAGAAAGCCUUUUUAAGAGAAGGAGGGAAGGAUGAGAGAGAAACAGAUUUCUGACAACUUGAUAAAACUUCUGAAUCUUGGGCUGGGCACUAGUUUCAUCCCUGGACUCCACAGUUAAGUGAGACAAUACAUCCUGUUUUUUCUAUUUCAGCUAGUUUGAGUUGGGUUUAUAUCACUGGCACAUGAUGAAUGCUCUGUCCCUCCAUCCUAGGGAGACUGGUGUUUCUAGGCACGUUGCCAAGGCAAGAACUCAGGCUCAGAGGAAGAAGGCAGAUGCUCAGCUGUGACACCUGGGGCAUCUGGUCUGAUGGGACCAGAAGCACACUAUUAAACUGGGAGGAUAUAAAAUACAGACAGGGCAUAGGCCCACAAUCUCUUUUCUGUUCUCCUGAAAGACAUCACUAAUGGAUCACAGCAUUUUUUCCUACAGAGUCAGGACAAAUCAUUGCAAUCUUAUGUUUAAUAUUGACUGCCAGGCAACUACUGUUAUUGAUUUGAAUGUGUAUGUAUUUCCCACUCUGGAUUUAAUGCCUGGAGACAUGCAUUUGUCUAAGAACUGGGCUUGAACUUGGAGGGUAACCUAGUUUUAGUUGGGAUUUCUUUCUUGUGGAUAUUUUCAGAGUAUGCUUAGUCGAUUAUUAUUAAAACACUGUGAAUAUGAUUAAUGAUAACUCAUUGAGCUUUCUUUUUAAAUAUUUUAAAUAUUCUACAUGUAACUGCCAAUUUGUCUCCUGAAUCCAUGUCUUUCCAUUGGUAUCUUUGUUUCUUUUAGAUAUUCCAAAGUAAUGAUAUUUUCAGUUGGUUUAAAGUGUUGCCAAGCACUGCUAUUUUUGGAGUUGUCUCUCUGUCAUUUACAGAGAAUGCCUAGGAGAUUUUGAAGCAGACACAAUGGCAUAUCACUUGGCAGUUACAGGUUUUCCUCCUGCAGUGGCACAUUGCUUCCUUUCUCUAACCACCUUAAUUUCCUGCACUUAUCAAUCUGAAAAUCAACAGUAAUAGUCUGUUAUGUGGAUUUUCAUUUAAUCUUUCAUGUUUAAGUUCAACCAUUUCCCCAUAACCAAACAAGCAGAUGUCCUGCACAACUGAUUCAAGUGCAGUUGCUAAGAGCUUUUGUAACAGAGUUUCAUGGGCUUUAGCAAUAAGUUAGGACAACCAAAUAUCAUUAAAAUCUCUACCUAUUUCCAAGCUUUCUUUAAGUCUAUUACAUAUUAUGGAAGAAAUGUUAAUUAUGUUAUUGCUGUAGAAAUAGUAGUUGUUUUGUCUCAGGAUUCUAAUUUAGAUUAAAUUUAAGAUAUCUUAGGACAAAUAAAAAAACUAUCCAAUGCUUUUUAAAAAUAUUAUAUCAGAAAGAUCACCAUCAAAUAUGCAAUGAUAGGGUUGAAAGUUCAUUCACUUUGGCUAAUUAUAAUAGUUACUAUGACUCAUUAUCAUCAACCUCAGUUUUAAUAGCUAACAUUUAUUUAGCAUUUCUUUGUGCCAGACACUAUACAGUGCUUUACUUGCAUUAUUACAUUUCACCCAAACAUAA
This 7093-nucleotide long non-coding RNA is filed under the name Sus scrofa (pig). RNAcentral describes it as "lncRNA (ENSSSCG00025046186.1)". The record is from RNAcentral. Lineage: Eukaryota; Metazoa; Chordata; Mammalia; Artiodactyla; Suidae.